Molecule: transfer RNA, 89 nt
Organism: Pestalotiopsis fici W106-1
Lineage: Eukaryota; Fungi; Ascomycota; Sordariomycetes; Amphisphaeriales; Sporocadaceae
Rfam family: tRNA
About the family: Transfer RNA (tRNA) molecules are approximately 80 nucleotides in length. Their secondary structure includes four short double-helical elements and three loops (D, anti-codon, and T loops).
Source: Rfam
GGCCGGCUGGCGAAAUGGUAUCGCGUCAGAUUUCGGCCCACCGAACUCCAAAACUCUGAAGAUUGCAGGUUCGAGCCCUGCGUCGGUCG